RNAcentral lists this ribosomal RNA (266 nucleotides) under uncultured Actinomycetales bacterium. RNAcentral's name for it is "partial 16S ribosomal RNA". It matches the Rfam family "Bacterial small subunit ribosomal RNA", at positions 524 to 789 of the family's 1533-position model. Lineage: Bacteria; Bacillati; Actinomycetota; Actinomycetes; Actinomycetales. The record is from RNAcentral.
UACGUAGGGCGCAAGCGUUGUCCGGAAUUAUUGGGCGUAAAGAGCUCGUAGGCGGUCUGUCGCGUCUGCUGUGAAAUCCCGAGGCUCAACCUCGGGCUUGCAGUGGGUACGGGCAGACUAGAGUGCGGUAGGGGAGAAUGGAAUUCCUGGUGUAGCGGUGGAAUGCGCAGAUAUCAGGAGGAACACCGAUGGCGAAGGCAGUUCUCUGGGCCGUAACUGACGCUGAGGAGCGAAAGCGUGGGGAGCGNACAGGAUUAGAUACCCUG